Molecule: transfer RNA, 76 nt
Filed under: Phaeovibrio sulfidiphilus
Lineage: Bacteria; Pseudomonadati; Pseudomonadota; Alphaproteobacteria; Rhodospirillales; Rhodospirillaceae
Also listed under: 6 other names
Description: tRNA-Lys
Rfam family: tRNA
About the family: Transfer RNA (tRNA) molecules are approximately 80 nucleotides in length. Their secondary structure includes four short double-helical elements and three loops (D, anti-codon, and T loops).
Source: RNAcentral
GGGCCCAUAGCUCAGCUGGUAGAGCAACUGACUUUUAAUCAGUAGGUCACAGGUUCGAAUCCUGUUGGGCUCACCA